Molecule: ribosomal RNA, 494 nt
Filed under: uncultured bacterium
Lineage: Bacteria
Description: partial 16S ribosomal RNA
Rfam family: Bacterial small subunit ribosomal RNA
Source: RNAcentral
AUGAACGCUGGCGGCGUGCCUAAUACAUGCAAGUAGAACGCUGAAGGAGGAGCUUGCUCUUCUGGAUGAGUUGCGAACGGGUGAGUAACGCGUAGGUAACCUGCCUGGUAGCGGGGGAUAACUAUUGGAAACGAUAGCUAAUACCGCAUGACAACAGUUAUUGCAUGAUAACUGUUUAAAAGGGGCAACUGCUCCACUACCAGAUGGACCUGCGUUGUAUUAGCUAGUUGGUGAGGUAACGGCUCACCAAGGCGACGAUACAUAGCCGACCUGAGAGGGUGAUCGGCCACACUGGGACUGAGACACGGCCCAGACUCCUACGGGAGGCAGCAGUAGGGAAUCUUCGGCAAUGGACGGAAGUCUGACCGAGCAACGCCGCGGGAGUGAAGAAGGGUUUCGGAUCGUAAAGCUCUGUUGUAAGAGAAGAACGAGUGUGAGAGUGGAAAGUUCACACUGUGACGGUAUCUUACCAGAAAGGGACGGCUAACUACGUG